Molecule: long non-coding RNA, 906 nt
Filed under: Homo sapiens (human)
Lineage: Eukaryota; Metazoa; Chordata; Mammalia; Primates; Hominidae
Description: long non-coding RNA NONHSAT195866.1
Source: RNAcentral
CCCAGGGCAUGCCGCCGGAGCCUGGCCAGGACGCACGGUGAAAGACGAGUUUGGUGGCAGGCUUGACCCCCCGGCUGCCAGCAGAAGCCGGCGUCGGGAGCCCAGGCGGGCAGGCCGCUGGGGUCGGGGCUGCACGUACGAGAGCCGGGACGCCCGGGUUCAGAGCGAAGGAGGAGGCAUGGCUUCGGUGUUCAUGUGUGGCGUGGAGGACCUGCUGUUCAGCGGCAGCCGCUUCGUAUGGAACUUGACCGUGUCCACGCUGCGGAGAUGGUACACGGAGAGGCUGCGGGCUUGCCACCAGGUGCUGCGGACGUGGUGCGGGCUGCAGGACGUGUACCAGAGAUAAGGUCUCACCAUGUUGUCCAGACUGGACUUGAACUCCUGGCUUCAAGCAAUCUGCCCACCUCCGCCUCCCAAAGUCCUGGGAUUUAUAGGCAUGAACCACCGCACCUGGCCUCCCCACCAUUUUAUUUUCUCCCGUGGCUAUCACAACCAGGAAUAAGAGAGGGAGGGGGACCUCAGUGGUGAUUUUAUGCUAAGGAUUAUGGAUAACACCAUCCCCCCAUUUUACAAAUGAAGAAACUGGGGCUCAAAAAGCUUAAUUAAAUGUCUAAGGCCACUGAGGCAGCAAUUAAAGAGGAUGUGAAGCCAGUCUGCUUUGUCUUCUUCUGGAGCCUCUCCUUGAGGCUGACACACCUGAUCAUAGCCCCAUUAUCUUAAGAGUGUUAGCCAUAUCCAGUGGCCAGCACACUCUAGACACUUCUGUUAUUGUAGAGAGACCUGUUAGAGAUGGAUGCAAGAGAUUUACCCUUUUUCAGCCUUGCCUCUGCUGUCUUGGGGAAGUGGGAAGGUUGCUUUAAAUGACGUGUCUCGUGAUCUGUAAAUAAAAGAAAAAUAAUUUCUGGC